This 11964-nucleotide long non-coding RNA is filed under the name Capsella rubella. Its description in RNAcentral is "long non-coding RNA (CRUB_LNC002367)". The record is from RNAcentral. Lineage: Eukaryota; Viridiplantae; Streptophyta; Magnoliopsida; Brassicales; Brassicaceae.
UCCACCCAUCUCAAACAAGCUUAAACGCACUACUACUUCUUGAGCCUUUUCCACUCCACAAAACAAAAUGGCUCCAAGAACCUCCCUUGCACUCUUCCUUUCUCUCAACCUCCUCUUCUUCACUUUCACCUCUGCGACCACAGGUACUUGUCCUAGAGACGCCCUCAAGAUCGGUGUUUGCGUCAGUGUGCUCAACAUAGUGGACCUAACAUUGGGAAACCCACCCGUACAGCCAUGCUGCUCUCUCAUCCAAGGCUUAGCUGACCUUGAGGCUGCUGUCUGCCUUUGCACUGCUCUCAAGGCUAGCGUUCUUGGAAUCAACCUUAACCUUCCCAUCAACCUCAGCGUUCUCCUCAAUGUUUGCGGUAGAAAAGCUCCAACCAACUUCCAGUGCGCUUAAGUUAAAAAUGAAGUUAUGGCAAAAAAAAAAAAAAAAAAAAAAAAAAAAAAAAUCAAUAAUCAACAAUCAAUAAUCAUAUAUACAAUGUAUGAAUAAUAAAUGAAUAAUCAUACAAUGUAUGAAUACUUGAAACCGUUAUCUUAUCUUCUUGUCUUUAUUUUAAGGUGAUUUCUUUUUUUCUUUGCAUUUGUAUUUGUAUUUGUCGUGGAUUGUUGGAAACUAACGUAUGAACGUUCUCAUGCAAUUACCCAAUAUUGGGUUUUGUGUGUAGUCGGCAAGUUUUUUCCUCCUUUGCUUCAUUGUUCCUCCAUCUCUUCUUUGUAAUUGUGUCCUUCGACGUUUAUUAAUAAAAGUAUCCAUCUUUAUGUUUUUUUUGUCUAUAUUGGUUAUCGAGUAUUUAUGCAUGUCUAUCUUAUAAACCAAGAUAAAAAGAUAAUAUUACAUACAUGAUACAUAUAUAUACCACAAAAACAUGUCUUGGCUAGUAUUACCUUAGCUUGUAAGCAUUAAGACAUGUAACAUCCAUUGCCUAUACCAUGCAAGAAUGGUGGGGAAUUUUUUUUUUUUUUUUCAAACUAGAUAAGAAUGUGUACAAGAUAAAUUCUUCAAACAGACAGCACUUGCAAACUUGGGAGAUAGUUUAAAAUAAAGAACUACUAAAUGUAUUUUUUUAUUUUUUUUAUUUUUUUUAACUACUAAAUGUAUUGUAAUGUGUUAGACGUAAUAUACAUAGUAGUCAAAAUAUAUUUUGACAUAGAAUUUAGAACUUUUUGCCAAAUAUCAAAGGCUUUAAAAGUAGUAGAUAAUGUAAUUACUAAUAAGUUAAAAAAUCAUAAUUAAGUUGGUAAUCGAUUUUUGGCUUGACUUGGGACGAAAAAUGUAAUUUUUUCUUAACAAGUCACUGGUAUAUAUUUUUUGAGAACUAAACCUUGAGUUUUACUUAUAUGAAUAGUUAAAAGUCACAAUUUUGUAUUCACUUUAUUACUGUUUAUGAUCAUUGAUUUUUUUUCCAUUACUAACUGUAUUUAGUCUUACAGAAAUUAAUGUGUUUUUAUUCUUUUUUUGUAAGAAAAUCUAUAAUGUAGUAACCGGAAAAAUUCAAAUGAAAACAUAUGCAUGGUGAUAUUAAAAUCUAGGUUCAUUAAGAAAUAACUUUGCUUUUUGAUAGGAUCUUGUAAGAAUUAAUUUUGCCUUAUCAACAAGACGAUGAUCACUACUACAGUAUAUAUAUAUAUAUAUAUAUAUAUUACUUGCCGUUAUUUUAUUUUGUAGUAUAUUUUGUCGUUAAUAUAAUAAAAGGAUCUCGCACAUACAUCUCAUUCAACACAUAUACAUGAUUUAUUUACCAAAAAAUAAAAUAUAUACAUGAAUAUUUCGUUAUAACAACUCUAACAAUGAUUAUAUAUUAUUCAUACUGGACAUGCUUUCAAAUUUAAAUUUUGCGCAAAACUGCAAUUGGCCAAAAUUUAAUCUAGACGAGUUAUGGUUUGAUUAAGUCCAACCAUUUGAGACUACCAAAUAGUAUUAUUACAUGGAAAUGAAUUAAUAAACUUUGUCUUCGUCUGACUAAAUGAUGAUUUAAAAAUAAUGACAAAGGGAUUCGUUAAAUAUAUAUAUCACAUGCACAAUGCAUGGAGGAAUAAAAAAACUCAUUCCAAUUUCGAUGUGCUUAAUUAACAUAAAUAGAUGUUUAAAUGAUAAAUAGCAGGUUUUAAAAAAACUUGUGAUACCUAGAUAUACAUAAUGUUUUCUUAGAACUUGGUAUUAUACUACUAAUUAACUUUGAUACACUAAUUACUAACGUAAUAACUAAUAACAUAACUCUGUACUCCAACUAACCAAGAAAUCAUAAGAUCGAUUGGCAGCUGAUACAAGUAAAUCAUAAAUGGCUGGCUUGAGCUUAAUUAAAAGAUGAAUGUGAUUCAUAUAAUAUAAAAAUUCGUGAGUUGUCUAGUUAAUUAGUUUAGAAGAUCGACUUCAACCACCAAAUUGUUUUUAUAGAUAUACAAAUUAAAACCAUAUACUCUUAAAGAUUACCAGCUAAUUUGAACAAUGACAAUUAAGUGGUUUUUAAUAAUCAAAUCAUAUCUAUAAGAAAUAAGCCAACUAAUAAUUCAAAUUAUCAAUUAAACCUUCACAUUUCUCUCCUAAUGAAAACCCUAUAAAUACCCACUAAACACUUAACAUUUUUCUCCACACAUCUCAUACAAACUUAAACGCACUACUACUUCUUGAGCCUCUUCGACCUCACAAACCAAUGGCUCCAAGAACUUCCCUUGCACUCUUCCUUUCUCUCAACCUCCUCUUCUUCACUUACACCUCUGCGGCCACCCCGAGCAGACAGACUUGUCCUAGAGAUUCCCUACAGCUCGGUGUUUGCGCCAAUGUACUCAAGCUAGUGGACCUAACAUUGGGAAACCCACCUGUAAAGCCAUGCUGCUCUCUCAUCCAAGGCUUGGCUGACCUUGAAGCUGCUGUCUGCCUCUGCACUAUGCUCAAGGUUAACCUUCUUGGGAUCAACCUUAAUCUUCCCAUCGAUCUCAGCGUUCUCCUCAAUGUUUGCAGUAGAAAAGCUCCAAAGAACUUCCAGUGCGCGUAAGUUGAAUAGUGUUUAUGAAGUCUUGGACCUAUUUUCUUAUCUUCUUGUUUUAUGGUAAGGUGAUUUCGUUUUGUAAUUUUCUUGAAUUGUUUAAGUGAACGUACGUUCUCAUGCAAUAAUGGAUAAUGCAUGCAUGGGUUUGUGUAUACAAUACAUGUAUUUGGCAAGUUUGUACUCCUUUACUUCAUUGUUACCCCGUCCCUUCUUUGUAAUCUAUUUUUCGAAUUUGAUAUAAUAAAUUCACUUCUUACCAUAAUUAAAUUUUAACAUUAUAACUUAAAAAGCCCUAUUGGAAAAAAUAAUUAAAAUGCCCUAUCUGUUCUUCUUACAAAAGAUGCUUGGAAGCUCGAUGUUUAACUUGUUGAAUGUGACCAUCCUGUCUCUAUAUAUCUGAAGACCCAAUAGAAAAAUCAAGACUCUUACUCAAUUUUUCUUUUUCCAAUAUAAGAGAUUUUUACCAUAAGAAAUUUUCAAAAUUUUAUUUAUUUUGGAUCCAUAGCAAAUGCCUAGGUGCAACCUCAUUGACGGUUUGGUUGAAUCAGAUUAUGCGGUUUGUCUUUGCACCGUGAGUAAAGCUAAAAUUCUAAAACUUGUCGAUUGCAGCAGAAUGGUUUCCAAUGCCCUUAAUUUGAAAACGUAAAUUUCUAAAACUUGGUUCAUAGACUUAUUUAUAAAUAUGAAAGUUGUUUUCCCAUCAAAUAUAACCAUAUAUAAGAUUGAUAAACAGAAACCAAUAGCUGGUUAAACCUUAAAAAAACGAGAAAUUAACAAGAAUUUAUUUAGUAAACUAUUUUACGAGUGGCCAUUUCUCUUUUAAUAGUAUAGAUUUCCAACACACACAAAAAAAUGUUCUAACUUUAUAUCUUGACUUAAUUUCACUAUAAAAUCCCUAAUAUUAAUUUUGUCUCAGUUCGAUUGGAUCAAUUUCAAACCGUGAAAAUUCCAUGUCUACUCAAUCCAUUUAAUCUCUAGUCGGUUGUCGAAAAAAAAUAUUAUAAUCUCUAGUCGGCAAAAUUUUGGUUUGAUCUCAAUUGGAUUUCUGAUUCAAAAUUAAUUAACAGUGAGUAAAUUAAUGGCAAUUUCCUUAUAUAUAAUGUUAAGUCUCCAGAGUUCAAAAAGAACAAUUGGUUUUUUAUUUUAACAUGGUAUCAAAGUCUAUAUUUGAUCUUAUAUUCUUUUUCAUUUUGAAAAAUCACAUAUUCUUUAUUUAAUGUUUCGCUUUUUUUUUGCUCAUUUUAAAUUAUAACCUAAUAUAAUUAAGAGAACAUCAAUACUCUAUUAUUGUAUAUGCGACCCGAUGAUAAUUCAAAAGAAUACCGGUAGUCUAUUGUUAUAUACUGUAUAUGUGAAGUUAUUUAGGAUUUAUGAUUUAAAGUUAUAGCGAGUUUGCAAUAUGAUUUGUUAACGAAUAUUAUUAAAUGUGAAGCAUGUUUUCUUUGGUAACAAAUAAUAUACUAUACAAACCUAAGCGUCAGAAUUUUGGUAUACAAUAAUAUUGGUUAUGUGAAUCAAAUCUUCGGACAUCCCAAAUAUAACGGGUCAACUUUCAAAAAGAAAUAUAUUCAGCAAAAGUUCAACUUGGUUCUCACUUAACCGAAUACAAACCUGAAAUGCCUAACGAGAGAACAAACUUGAAAGCUGAAACAUUAGAGCAAAAAUACAAACUUAACGAAGUUUGAUAGAUCAUGUUUAACGAAGUUGUCAAAGCGGUGUAUGGUAGGCAAAGCUGUGAUGGAAACCCUUUUCAAAAGUCUUUUCACCACUGACUGUAAAGGAAGUCACCAUUUGAAUAUUAUUGUUAUGAUCACUAAUGUUAUGCCAUUAUAUAUUACCUGUAGCUUUAUGUAUAGUCUUACAAAUAUGUGAUAUAUAGUAUUUAUAUUUGAUGCACUAACCGAAAAUUUCAGAUAUAAACUUCUUUCAUUUUUGACGUCUUUUUAGAUAGAUUAUGUAGUUAAUAAAAAGAAUAUAAUUGACCAAUAAAUACAUCAAUUUUAUAGUAAAGAAUGAUUUUCGCAUGAUGAUUAUAUAUUAUUAAUUGUAAGCCUUUCCAUGGAAUUACUAAAUUCUCGAUAUCUCUUAUAGUCAGCUAGCUACACGUGAGCCAUACACUAUUUGCAUGUUCGACCAUUAUUUUAUUAAUCGGAAUAUAACAAAAGAUGCCAUUAUUAAUUCACGAAACCAUAUGUUAUUUAUUCAGAGAAAAAAAUAUCCAAGUGGUAAGAUCUCGCACAUACCUGAUCAUUCAAUAUAAAUCAUUGAAAUGUAUUAUCCGAAAGAGAAAUAAUAACGAUGAUUUUGUCGUUAAAUAACUUAAUAAGUAAAAGUCAUUUGCUAAUAAAAACAUUUCACAUAAGAUUUUUCUAUAAUUAAAAAAAAUUAUCAAAAAAAGAUGCAACUUCUCCCAUCUUGUUUCUAAUUCUUUUUAUAUCUAUUUAAAACAAAAACUAUACUACAAAAAAAAAAAAAGAAGAAAAAGAAAAGAGAACUCUUAAAUUUUCUCACACACUAUACUAUGAUUUUGGGGAGUUUGGAACCAUCUAAAGAUUUCUUAAACCAUUUCACCAUUCUCUACAAAAAUCCAAUUCACGUUGGACUCAUAUCCAUCCUUUGCUCUAACUUUCUCCACAUUUCCAUCUGAUAGAAUUCAUGAGCUAAGACGAUUUGUGAAAUGAUUUUUUUAUUUCUCAAUCGUAAUAAACAUUGCAGUGUGUGUUUAUAUACAAUAAAUUAAUGUAAAUCGGAAUCUCAUGUCAAUUAACUUAACCAGUAAUCCAGCUACUCUAAUACCAUCACUUUUUAUUUUUUAAAUCUUUCUCAGAUCUACUAAUUUGAAACUUCAUUGAAAAAAACAAUUUUUAUCAGUUAACUAAAAAAAGGACAAUUGGAUAUAUCAAUUCUUACCACCGACUAAGUUGUUAAUUAAAAUAAGAACCAUAUACUCCUAGAGAUUACCAGCUCAUUUGAACAAUAGAAAAUAUUUAAUGUUCUUUAAACACAAAUAGUCAACUAAUCCCCUAGUAACGACAAAAUAUCAAUGAAACCUUCACAAUACUCUCCUAGUGAAAACCCUAUAAAUAGACACUAAACACUUUUUGACAAAAAAAAAAAAAAGACACUAAACACUUAACAUUUCUCUCCACCCAUCUCAAACAAACUUAAACGCACUACUACUUCUUGAGCCUUUUCCACUCCACAAAACAAAAUGGCUCCAAGAACCUCCCUUGCACUCUUCCUUUCUCUCAACCUCCUCUUCUUCACUUACACCACUGCGACCACAGGUACUUGUCCUAGAGACGCCCUCCAGAUCGGUGUUUGCGUCAGUGUGCUUAACAUAGUGGACCUAACAGUGGGAAACCCAGCCGUACAGCCAUGCUGCUCUCUCAUCCAAGGCUUAGCUGACCUUGAGGCUGCUGUCUGCCUUUGCACUGCUCUCAAGACUAGCAUUCUUGGAACCAACGUCCUUAACCUUCCCAUCAAUCUCAGCGUUCUCCUCAAUGUUUGCGGUAGGAAAGCUCCAACGAACUUCCAGUGCGCUUAAGUUCAAAACAAACUUAUGGCAUACCUAGAAAACAAAUAAAUCAGUAAUCAUAUAUACAGUGUAUGAAUAAUAAAAAAUAAUCAUACAGUGUAUGAUUACUUGAAACCGUUAUCUUAUCUUGUUGUCUUCGUUUUAAGGUGAUUUCAUCUCUUCUUUGUAUUUGUGUCCUUUGAAUCCGAUUAAUAAAAGUAUCGAUCUUUAUGUUUUAUUGUUUAUAGUGGUUUCGAGUAUACAUGUGUAUCUUAAAAACCAAGAUGAAAAAUAAUAUUACAUACAUGAUACAUACAUACCACUAAAGCCUGUCUUAGCUAGUAUUUCCUUGUAAGCAUUAAGACAUGUAACAUCUAGCUCAUCGUUCCAUAUAUAACAUGCAGGAAUGGUUGGGAUAUAUCUAAUUAUUUUUUAUCUAACUAGAUAACAAUUUGUUCAAGAUCAAUUCUUCAAACAGAUAACACUUGCAAACUUGCGACAUAGUUUAAAAAAAAAGAACUAUAAAUAUGUAGUGUAAUGUUAGACGUAAUAUACAUAGUAGUCAAAAUAUAUUUUGACGUAGAAAUUAUAAUUUUUGCCAAAUAUCAAAGACUUUAAAAGUAAUAGGUGAAAAUAUCAUAAUUAAGUUGGUAAUGGAUUUUUUUUUUGAGUUUAAUGUUAAAUUAUAUUUAAAAAGAAAAAUUAACAUUUUUACAACAAGUGCAAUAUUGUUUUGAAAGAAAAACUUAUAAAGUAUUAAAAGUGAUUAAAAAAUUCCACGACGAUGGGAGCUUCUAACCUACGAAGAAGUCUUUCCCCUCUUCAUUCGGAAGUAGAAGCUCUGGUGUGGGCGAUGCGAUGCAUGAUUGGCCAUGACUUCAGAGAAGUUGCUUUUCUUACCGACUGUUCGGACUUGGUGAAGAUGGUGUCUUCUCCUCACGAAUGGCCGGCUUUCUCUGUCUACCUGGAGGAUAUCAAGAAUGAUAGGGAAGAAUUCUCAUCUUUUUCUUUAUCUUUUAUUCCUAGAAAUCUGAAUGUAAAAGCGGAUUACUUGGCACGCAAAGCUCGUUCCAGUCCGCAUUUGAUUAAGUUUGUAAACAAUUGUCCGUCAAGUUGGCUCAUUUGAGUUAGCUUUUUAUUUAGAUAGAACAAAAAAAAAAAAAAAAAAGAUUAAAAAAUUCCCCCAAAAAUAUCUUAAUCAAAUGACUAGGAACGUGCUUGAAACCAACGUUGGAAACCUUCAUCAUAUCGUCAAUUACCCUCUCGUCGAAUUGCUUGGAGCUGAUCAACUCAUUUUAUGAUUGUUGCAGUCGGAUGUGAAGCAUCUCCGUUAAGUUAGUAAUCGAUUUUUUGGCUUGAGGGGGGACGAAAAUGUAAUUUUUUCCUAAUAAUUCAUUUGUAUAUAUUUUUUGAGAACAAAACCUUGAGUUUUAGUUAUAAGAAAUUGUUAAGUCACAUCUUAUACACAUAUUGAUUGACAAAUUUCUCCAAUUAAUUUAUCAAAUAAAAUAGUAUUAAGUCAAAAACGAAUUUGAGUUAAUUAACACGUGCUCAAAUUUGGCAUUUUCAGACUAAUCAUUAUGUAUAUUAGAGAUGCCUUCAUAUACAAUCAAACGUACGUUACAGAUGUGUUAUACGUAAACUGUAACACAUACUAAAAUAUAUAAUGUAUAUGAUCGAACUUCGUUCCACUUCCAGUAGUUUGGAUUUAAUUUGGACGGAUUACAAAAGAAUCUAUAUAACUCACUCCAUGCUGAGACUUCUUCAACUAUAUAAAAUCAUUUACAAACAACAAAUUUAUUCAUUUAUUUCCGAUUAGAUUUUGUGGCAGAGAGAUAGUUAACAAUGGUGGUCUCGAUUCUGAUUAUUUGAAGGUCAAGGCCGAGACGCAAUAGUGGUUUCCAAAGUUUGAUGGUGAUUUCCAAAGCCGAGUAGAUUAAUGGAUAUUUCCAUAUAUAUAAUAAUGCUUAUAUACUAAUGCUUCAACCUUAACCUAAUACUUAAUCUAAACAAACCCAUUUACACAUAUGGGCUUUUACUACAAUCAUGGCCCAUGGCCUUUUUCCUCUUCCUCCUCAUACAACCAAUGCUUCUUCUUUUUUUGGUAAAAUACAACCAAUGCUUCUUCUUCAGUUGCUUACGCAUCUCUCUUCCUUCAUAAUUUCUCACCUUUCUCUUUGUUUCUCUUUUGCAGGGUUAAGUAAUGAAUCAACUUCCACCAGUUUUCACUUGAUUAUUUUUUAUGAUCAUUGAUUUUAUGCCUUUAUUACCUGUAUGCAGAAAUGUGUUUUUUUAUUUCCUUUGUAAGAAAAUCUAUAUCAUUUAUUUUUGAUGAAUUAACCGAAAAAUUCAGAUAUAUCUAUAUAUAUAAAGUUAACUUUUUCUCUCUUCUCCUUAAGCCACAUCAUCAUCCACCUCAUUUUAUUAUUUAAUUUUUAAAAUUAAUUAUACCAUUUUAUCAUUUAAUUUUACUAUUUAAACCUAUGUAAAUAAUAUAUAUAUAUAAAGUUAACUUUUUCUCUUUUCUCCUUAAGCCACAUCAUCAUCCACCUCAUUUUAUUAUUUAAUUUUUAAAAUUAAUUAUACCAUUUUAUCAUUUGAUUUUAAUAUUUAAACCUAUGUAAAUAAGUUUUUCCAAAAUAAAUAUGAAAGGUCUUUUUUAUUAUUAUAUAUUAUAAAACUAAAAAAGAUAAUUGAUUAAGAGUUAAAAAAACUUACUAAUUAUCGAUUAUACUAACAAAUAUAAUGUAUAAUAUAAACCCCACAUCAUCAUUCAUCUUAAUUUUUUACAUUGAUUUAGAAUUACAACACUUUAGUUUUUAAUUUCUUUUCUACCUCAUAACUUAGCUUUUAUUUUAUUUUUCUAUUCAAUAGUGGUUUUAAGAAAAUAAAUAAUAUAGUAAAAAACAUUUAUGUCCAAAAUAAAUAAAACAAGUAUAUAUUUAUAAAGUAAUGAUCAAUUUUUUGAUUAAUGGGGCUAAAUACAAAAACAAAAUACAAAGCAAGGAUAUUUAUACUAUACAGAUAGAUAUACCACUAAAUUGAUGUCAUCCGAAGCCACCUCAAACGAAAACACAACUGAUUUUAGGCAUAAGAAGUAGAAAAAAAAACCUUAAAGUAAAAUGAAAACACUUGGAUAAGUAAAUAAGUGGAUUCACCAGAAUAAUUUGGCUUACAAAAAUUGAAGGCUUUUGAAAUGUAAGCUUUUAACAGCUACUAUUUGACCUAAAUCAUAGUUAAAAAAAUAAAAAUAAACAUUGCAUAUACUAAAUUAAUACAAAACAACAGUAAAAACAAAAAAAAUAAACAGAAAACAAAGAAAAAUCAAAAUAUAAAAAACAAUUAUAAAACUCCCGCGCGCAGCGCGGAUCAACAACUAGUAUAUAUAUAUGUUAAACUCCUAUAAUCAUAUGGUGACAUAAAAUUUAUUACGGUCGUUAAGAAAUAACUUUGCCUUUUGAUAUGAUUUUUAAAAGAAUUAAUUUAGCCUUAAUCAACAAGACGAUGAUUAAUUACCAUAAUAUAGCCCGCACAGUUGUGGUCCAGUGGUAAGGAAGAAUUGGGGACAUGUUGGAAGGAACUAACCCAGAUUCGAUCCACCCUGGAAACAAAAAUCAUGGUUGUGUGGGAAGUCUGGGAAUUGGGCCAAGGCCCAGUUGCUUUACCUGUUAGUCAGAAAUGCAGACGACCUGAUUACCCUUGGCAUUAGUCGGAAAACAUUCCAAACUCGGGAUAGACAGUGUGUCAUGGCCCUUCGGAGAGAAGUCCACUCUGAAGCAUUUCGGUGCGAUUCUACCGGAGCUGACGGGAUAAGCCGAUAGGAUUUAUCAAAAAAAAAAAAUUACCACUUGGUUGAACCAUUAAACUUCUUUCAUUUUUCACGUCUUUGAGAUACUACUAUACAUAUGUAGUUAAUAAAAGAGAAAAUCAUUAUUAAAAAAAAAAGAAUAGAAUUGACCAAUCAAUUGAUAAUGUUAUCGUGAAGGAUGAUUUGGGCAUGAUCAUUAUCAUAUUUAUAUAUUAGAAGCCUGUUCGAAGGAAUAACUAAAUUCUCGAUCUCUCCUAUAGCUACCACCCGUGAACUAUAAUAGUACACUAUUAGCAUGUUCGACCUUAUUUUUUAUAAUCCGAAUAUAACAAAAGAUACCACUAUAAUACAUGAAACUAUAUGUUAUUUAAUCAGCAAAAGGAUCAAACUAGUAUGAUCACUUACAAUAUAUCAUUCAAUACAAAUCAUAGAAAUGUAUUAUCCGAAAGAGAAACAACAACGAUGAUUUUGUCGUUAAAUAACACCUUAAGAUAUACUAUAUUUUGAUCUAAUUUCCAACAAUUAUUUUACGUUAUUCAACUAUAGACAUUGAUUUCCUUUCAGAUUUUUUUUCGAAAUUAUGAUUUUAUUUGUUUCACACAAUGAAAAUGACCUUUUAAUGCCAAAUUUGUGCUAAACCAUCUAAUAAAGUCUUAACGUUGAAAUCAUACGAUUGAGAUAUUUCUAUAUUUUAAACCCUAAAAAUAUCCAAACUAGUCUAUUAUAAACCCCUAAUAUACGGAAUGAUAUGAUAAGUCCAACCAUUUGAGACUACUAAUACAAUUAUCACAUGGAAAUGAAGUAAUAAACUUUGUCUUCGUGUGUGAUUAUGUGUAGACAUAAUGGUGAAGGAUAAAAUUUAUGAGGCUUUGCAUAGUUAAUUUCUAAAAUAAGAUUAUAAAUUUGAUUAUAUUCUUAAUAAUCGUGAAGGCCCGUACAUAUAUUGGUAUAAUUCGAAAAUUUGGGAGUUGUCUAGUUAAUUAUUUUAGAGGAUCCACUUCAACCACCAAAUUUUGAUUUAUGGAUAUAUAAAUUCUUACCACCAACUAAGUAGUUAAUUAAAAUUAGAACCAUAUACUACUAGAGAUUACCAGCUCAUUUGAACAAUAAUGACAAUUUAGUGUUUUCUAAUAUUAAUCAAUCCCUUAUCUCUUAAUGAAAACCCUAUAAAUAGACACUAAACACAUAACAUAUCUCUCCACCCAUCUCAAACAAGCUUAAACGCACUACUACUUCUUGAGCCUUUUCCACUUUACAAAACGAAAUGGCUCCAAGAACCUCCCUUGCUCUUUUCCUUUCUCUCAACCUCCUCUUCUUCACUUACACCUCUGCGACAUGUUACAAGUGCCUCCCCACCCCAACUACCCCGACCAUCCCGACCAUCCCGACAACCCCGACCACCCCGACUACCCCGACCACCCCAAGCACAGGUACUUGUCCUAGAGAUGCCCUACAGCUCGGUGUUUGCGCCAAUGUGCUCAAGCUAGUGGACCUAAAAUUGGGAAACCCACCUGUUAAGCCAUGCUGCUCUCUUAUCCAAGGCUUGGCUGACCUUGAGGCUGCGGUCUGCCUUUGCACUGCUCUCAAGGUUAACAUUCUUGGAAUCAACCUUAACCUUCCCAUCGAUCUCAGCGUUCUCCUCAAUG